AAGCACGAGCGUGCUUGUGUUGACUUCACGGCUAACAGGGAAAACCCUGCCUGUUGUAGGCGGUGAGAGUCGUAAGAAUGUGUUAGCAGUAAAGCCUAAAUUUAACUUCAUAAUGGCACACUACAGAAUCCAGUUUCCUCAAACAGCACUUGGGUGUGGCUGGCCAGGAGUCUGCAGACACUGAGGCACUCCAGCAGGAGCUAAGAGACAUGAAGCAAAGGUGUGAGCUGAGGAGAACAAAGGACUCAAGAACAGGCUUCAACGCUAUGAGCCUACACAAGAGGAUGGAGCUGCCGAAUAGGAAGUGCCUCGGCUUUAUUGAAGUAAUUUUGUUAAACUCAGAUUUUUAUGGCAAGUCGAAACCAACAACUGGAGGCAAGGGAUUUUAUGCACCUCUGUUCUUUUAUUUUUUUCUUUUCUACUAUGUUUAAAUAUUUAACUUAUUUUGUAUAUUUGAUAUAUUGAAAUAUAAUAGCUUUUGUCCUUUGACUGUCUCCCUCUCAUAAAAGCAAACCCCCCUUUUCUGCUUUCAGUGUACUUAGCCUACUGUACACCAAUGCUUUGUCUCUAGUAAACAAACAGUAACAUAA
Salmo salar (Atlantic salmon) is the source of this 590-nucleotide long non-coding RNA. RefSeq lists it as uncharacterized. Lineage: Eukaryota; Metazoa; Chordata; Actinopteri; Salmoniformes; Salmonidae. The record is from RefSeq and is a predicted model, not a curated record.